GGAGUUUGGGCCGUGUCUCAGUCCCAAUGUGGCCGUUCACCCUCUCAGGCCGGCUACUGAUCGUUGCCUUGGUGGGCCGUUACCCCGCCAACAAGCUAAUCAGACGCGGAUCCAUCUCGCACCGAUAAAUCUUUUACCCCUGUCCCAUGCGGGACCGUGGUCUUAUGCGGUAUUACCAGCCGUUUCCAGCUGCUAUCCCCCUGUGCGAGGCAGGUUAUCCACGCGUUACUCACCCGUCCGCCACUAAGUUAAAGGUCCAUCCGAAAAUUUCUCUUUAACCCCGUUCGACUUGCAUGUGUUAGGCACGCCGCCAGCGUUCAUC
This 322-nucleotide ribosomal RNA is filed under the name uncultured Coriobacteriales bacterium. RNAcentral describes it as "partial 16S ribosomal RNA". The record is from RNAcentral. Lineage: Bacteria; Bacillati; Actinomycetota; Coriobacteriia; Coriobacteriales.